AAGAAUUUGAAUGAAAUGUAUAUGAACUUCAUGGGGGAUAUCUGGAGGUAGGUGGUAAGUUAUUACUGCUUGGUUUCAGAUUCCUUUGAAUUCAUUGCAUUUCUUUAUAUUCAUACACGCACUACAUGGGAGACUGUGUAGUGUUACUAUUUAGAAUCAUAUUUUGUAUAUCAUUAGUCUUUUAAUUUUUUCGAGUUUUUUUAAACUUGAUAAAUAAAACAAAUUAA
RNAcentral lists this unclassified non-coding RNA (227 nucleotides) under soil metagenome. RNAcentral's name for it is "partial internal transcribed spacer 1". The record is from RNAcentral.